Dioscorea cayenensis subsp. rotundata (Guinea yam) is the source of this 5863-nucleotide long non-coding RNA. RefSeq lists it as uncharacterized. The transcript has 3 exons. The record is from RefSeq and is a predicted model, not a curated record. NCBI's taxonomy places the organism in Eukaryota, Viridiplantae, Streptophyta, Magnoliopsida, Dioscoreales, Dioscoreaceae.
UUCUAACUAGGGUUUUUUUCUACAAAAUUUUUUUCAUCUUUUAUUUAUUUUGAGAUGAGUUCUUGCUUUAAAACACUAGAAAUUUAGUUUCUUUAUGUGUUAUUGUUGAUUUGGCUUUCUUGACCCAUAACUAGUUUAUUUACUUUACAUUUCCUUCAUCCAUUUGUGUGAUUUGAUGGAUUUUCUGAUUUUUGGAUGUACAUUUUGAUGGAUCUAACUUGUUUAUCAUUUGUGAAAUUUGUUGGCAAUGAUCGGCGUCAAUUUCUGGCUUAAGAUUUUGUUUUUUCUCAUUAAAUUUAGGAAUUUUGUGGCAUUUUUUCUAGUCUAGAUAACAAAAUUUUAUGAAUAUAUCAUUUCAGCCUUGUCAUCUUUGUUGAUUUUAUGGAGAGAAUAAUACAUUGAAUUAUUUCUUGUUAUAAUUUUUACCAUCAACGGAUCAAAUUUUAAAGUCUUUUAACCACUCUGUUUGCUUUGGCUUGCUUGCUUCCUUUGAGCCAAACAUUCUUUUGGUCCCUUUAUCCAUUUGGUUUUACGCUAAUGAAAAACUUUGUUUAUUGUUUAUUUAGACAUUAUUUCUUCAUAGUAAUGAACCCAGCGUCAUACAAUGUAAGUUAAAAAGAUCUAGGUAUUAUCGUCUAGUUUUCAUUUAGAUACACCAAUAUUCUUCCACAUAAAUAGAAAUUGAAAUAUCUUUUCUCACAUGAAAGGCCACUUUAAGGACAAUGACAUCAACCCCAGCAAUUAAUGAUUGGGUGUUGCAAACAUUAACUCUUGAAAUAGGUGAGCACUAAUGAUUUUAAUGUAUGGUAUGAUUCUCUAAAUGUUUCGAAUGAUUGUUCCUAUCAUCAAAUUUUGAUCUUAAAUUUGUUUUAGCAUCAAAUUAUAUAUUAUACUAGCACCUAUAUCAGGUUAUUGCUUCAUAACUUUAGGUGACUAUCUAAGCCUAAGGAUUUUACCUAGAAAAUUUUGAAAUUACGUUUAAGAACCACAUUUAAUUUAUCUUGACAAGGAAUUCUAUGAAUGUGAGAUUGAUUGUGAGUUGUAUUUGUCUAAUAAAUUACUAUGUUAUUAGUUUAAAUUAAUCAUGUGUAUUUUGGCUUGUUAUCAACAUUUCAUAACCUUUUCUAUGCAUUUGUGUUUCAAUGAUGCAUGGGACCCUAACCCUAAAUAAUAGAGUGCAUGUAUGUGAUUUGUGUUUUGAUUGAAUGUGAUCCCUAAUACCAUGACCCCCCUCAACUUUACUAUGAGUAAUACUGUUCCAGAUGAUGAAAGGAAUGCCACUGCUAUUGUCACUUCUAGUCUAAGAGAAUCUCCUAGCUAGUCUAGCCAUAUUGAAUGUUAAAUAUGGUUCGUUUAAUUUUUUGCAUUCAAAGGCACCUACAAAAUGCUCCAAGUUCUUUAGAGCUUUGUGGAGAACUGCAGAUACUAUCAAAUUUUACAUUUGGAUUAAUUCCACUAACUCUAAUGCCACAUCUAUUUUGGAAGAUGCUUGGUGCUUUAAGAUCCCUGUAGCGUUGAAACGUACUUUACUGAACGUAAGUUUAGACAUUGCUUCCUUGCAUGUUUCAAACUUUGUAGUGAACUCUAAUUGGGAUAAGAACAAUUUAGGAAGCAUGUUUAAAGACAAUUUGACUAGCCUAUUUUGAAUUUCAAGUGGAUCUAAUUGAAAGAAAUAAUUGGGUCUGUUGUCUGCUACCCGAAUUCAAAUAGUAAUUAUCUGGUUUAUACAAUUUAUUUCUUCUUGAAUUGCAAAAGUACAAUGGAUCAUAGAUGGAAGGGUUAGGAAAGGAUUUGAAAACUAAAAGCUGCACCUAUAGUGCAAUUUUUCACUUGGUUAACUAUGCAUGGGAGAAUCAAAACAUUUCAAUUUUCGCAUGCCAUAAAUUUGGGUCCUACAGAAAUAUGUGUUUUUGUGGCCUUUGUUAUGAGAAUAUUAAUCAUAUUUUUAAUAUCUGUUUAAAACUCAAAGAGUGUUGAGGGAAGUUUGAUACAGAUUAGGCAAACACAUCUUCUUUGCUAAGGUCUUAGAUUCAAGAAAUUGGUUGGAAGGUAUUUCUUCUCCCACUUUUGACUUUGAAGCCACUACAUCAUGGCAUCUUUGUAUAGCCAGAUGUAAUUUGCUUUUCCAAAAAACCUGAUUUUCAAUGAAUUGUGGUUAGAGCUUUUGAUCAUGUGAAAGAAUACAUUAUUGUUUCUAAUUGCAAAAUGGAAAGGAGUGUUAUCAAUUCCAUGAGACAUGCACCUCAUUUUGGAUACAUGUUCUUUUCAAAUGCAUUCCGGAUUCACGAGUCUAGUGAAGAGGGUCCAGAAUUCUAGCAUUAAUAUGUUCCAACGAUAGAAAGCUUAUGAUAGAUAUCAUUUUCACUUAUUGUGUUCCCAUAUUGUGCUGCCAUAUUAAGAAUGGUAAUUGUGAUAAUAUUUGGAGUGUGAAGUAACAAGUGACAUCUUUUAAGCACUUGUUGGAGAAUACAAGUGCUCAUUUGGAGCUUAUACCUAUAGGCGGAUUGAUAACUAAGUGUAGAGUGACUCCAUUUCUAUCACAAAAGCAUAGAGCUUCCAAGAUGGAUUUUGAAGAGGGUUGCUCAACAAGGCUUUUAUUUUUAAAGUUUGUUUGUUUGUUCAAUGGUGUUUUAGUUUUUGGUUUGUAAUUUUGGCCCUUAUUUCUUUGGGUUUAAUAAACUAGCUGUAGUGGUAGCUCUUAUGACCACACACGCAUGCGUAGACACACACACAAUCCUCAUCCACACCUUAAGUAUCUCAAGGCACUGGUUUAAUAAGGAUAAUGAAAUUACUGUCACACAGAUACUCUGUCACAUUAUUUCAUUUUGCCAUGGAUAAUAUUGUCAAAUUUUUGACCAUAAUUAAAAUGCUAAGGGGGUGUUUGUUUCACUUCAUUUGAGGGGGAAGUUGUUAAAGUUUGAGAAGACACUUUAGGGUGUUUGUUUUACUUCAUUUUGAUCCGAAGUGGUUUGAUUUGACAUUUCCAAAUACCCCUCACUUCCUUUUUUGACUUCAGAGGGAAAAAAAAAUAUGAAGUCUAUUUCGGUCUUCAACUUCCCUCGAGCUAAAGUAUGCACUGUUAGCACGUGGUAUCACAUGGCCUCAAUGUGAUCACCCCCACUUCUAGCUUUUCUUCCCCAUUGCUAGGGUUUUGGCCUCUUUCACGAUUCUCACCUCUCUUCUCUAGUAGGCCCUCUUCUCCAUGCGUUGUUGUCGCUCAUUCACUUGUCUAUGGUUUCUUUGUUGCAGCAUCAUCAUCACUUUACCAUCGACCUUAAUUUUGUUGUCUUCUACUCUUUCCUUUCUUCUCUAAUAGGUGUCAUUUCUUCCCUAACCUGGUUUUUUUUAUUUGUGUUGAUGAUCCGUCAGCAUACUCUUCACUUUGCAUUAUUAUUUUAUUUUUUAUUUAUGUUUUAUGAUUUUCAAGCCCUAGUUGCCUUGUAAUCCAGCUAUUUCUAAGCAUAUGCCUUGUGGUGGCUUCAAUGUUUUAAGGUCACCCCUCUUCUCUGCAACCACCAAUUCGCCCUAUGUCCACUCCAUUAUGGGGUUCUUUUCAAAUCUAUUUGGAAAAUAGCCCAAGCUUGCUUUGCUAUAACAAGAUCAUCCCUGUCCUUUCCUAAAGCAAGAUAUUUUGCCUUAAUCUGGCAAUUGUCUCUUGGUAGCUUUGUUGUUGUAAGAUCAUUCUCCUCUUCUCCCACAUGCAGUUAUUUUUGUUGAUUUGCUUUGUUUUUUUUUCUUUUUUUCCUAAAUUGUGAUGUUGAUUUGUUUGAUAGCUUGUUUUACUCGUUUUGUAUCAUUUUUUGAUGUAUUUAUUUUUUCUAAUGUUGAUCUAUGCGAUAGAAUGGAUCCACCACAUUUUUUCCUGUGAUGUUGAUAUGUGUUGAUAUGUUGUUAUGUUCUUCUUAACAUGGUUUUCUUAAUAUCAUGCUUUCAUACGUAUGUGUGUAUAUAGCUAUUGUUAGAAUUUUUUUUUCUCUCUGAAUUUUUCCCAUGCAUGAGUUUUUUUUUAUUAUUAUUAUCAUGGUUUAUGAUGUACUUUUACCUUAUUAUGCAACAUAUCUUUAUUUUUCUGAUGAUCUACUGAACAACAUGCUGCCACAAUAUUUUGUUUGGCUUGGUUUUAAAUUUUUCCUCUGUCUUGGUUUCUUUUUAAGUCAAGCUAUUGCAAUGCAUAGUCUAUCUUCAUUGGUUUUCUAUUGAUAUUCUGAAAUAGAUUUGUAUUUCUCAUAAAUUUCUCUUGUUAUGCAAUGGAUCCUCAUUUUGUAUGCUUACCUCUUGUGCUUUUUUUUAAAAAAAAUUUCUUUUGUUUAUUUUGAAAUUUUUUAUCAGUGAAUUUUUUUCUGGUUAUCAUGGUUUCUUUUGUUGUUAUUGUGCAAUGUACCUAUUGGUGAUGUUAACAAUUCUGACUCUGUUGUGCAAUGGAUCCUCAUUUUUGUUGUACCAUAUCUGAUUUUGUGUGUGUAUUGUCAUGAGACAGUUAGACCACAAUGAAUGUUGGUCUCUGAUUGAUACUAGCUGAUGUCAAAGGUUUUUAUUUGUAGCAUCCAUUUGAAAAGAGAGAGAGAGAGAGAGAGAGAGAGAGAGAGAGAGAGAGAUUGUUUCACAUUUUAUAAGAAAAUAACUUCAUGCUAAAUUUUCUUGUUUCCUUGUUCUUGGCUUGUUGCACUUUGAUUUUAUUUGAAUAGAAUUUUACUUCCAAAAGGAAUUAAAUGACUUCUACUCUUGAUGGUUCUUAUGAUACUUGGGUACAAAGAGUUGUUCAAUAUACUUCUUCCUCAAUUUCUUUGAUUUUCCUUGUCAUUUUACUUAAUCAAUAUAUAUCCUACUAGUUAGUGAGAAUGCAUUAACAAUGAUUGCCACAACAAGAUUACCUAUUAUCAGAUUCUCUUAUUCGAUAUGAGAAGUAGCUCACAGAACUAAAACUCAUUUUGUACAAAUUAAAGUCAUUUGGUUUUUGAAUAUGUGAAAUGUUUUGCUAAUGUUACAUGCAAUUUGUUUUCCACAUGUGCUUCCACAUUAUUUUCUUUGGUUUGUUUUAAACUUUUUGCUUUGUAAAUUUUUCCCCUUGUGUUCAUGGUCUCAUAUAUCAUUGUCAUACUUUAUGAAUUUUCUGGCCUGCUUAUCAUGGUCUCUUCUUAUUGGGUCUUUUCUUCUUGUUAUCAUGCAUUUGAUGUAUAUAUGUGUGUGUGUAUAUAUAUAUGUACUACUAUAGAUGGGAUUUAUUUUCUCUCCUUAAAAUUUUGUUUCUAUUGUGUUAUGGUGGUUUUUGUUGUUGACAUUUUUUAUAUGUUGUGCAAUGGGUCCUCAUUUUUUAUGCUAACCUGCAGUGUUUCCACAUUAGAUUCUUUGGUUUGUUUUGAAAUGUUUACUCUCUUAUUUUCUUUUUUGUCAUGUUUUUCUAGCCUUUUGCUGUUGUCAUGGUUUCUUCUAAUGGACAUAUACAUAUACUUUUUCGUAUUAUUUUCCCUCAUUGAAUUGUUACCCUCUUGUAUUAUCAAGGCUUUAUAUUGUUAACAUGAAUGCUUUGUUGUGCAAUGGUGCCUCAGUUUUUAUGCUGACCUAUUCGACAGCAUACUUCCAUAUUAAUUUUGUUAAGAUUGGAUUGAAAUUUUUUGUGGUGUUGCCUGACUAUAAGACGUUAUGUGUCACCCCUUCAUAAUAUUAUUUUGUGGUAUGUUUUGUCUUAUAUUUUUGUUUUUCUACUAGACUACAUCUAUUUGUUUAUGUCAUUGGCUUCUUCACUUUUCAUCUACCAUGUACAUAUAUCAGGCUUAUUGUGGAUAGUGCUAUGAUUUAUUAAUAAGCUACAAAUAUGUAUUGCUUAACUUGUACUACUAAAUUGUAUUGCUAAGUGCUAUGAUCU